RNAcentral lists this non-coding RNA (30 nucleotides) under Cricetulus griseus (Chinese hamster). Lineage: Eukaryota; Metazoa; Chordata; Mammalia; Rodentia; Cricetidae. The record is from RNAcentral.
GAUGCAGCACUGUGAUCUAAUUUAAAUAAU